CAAUAGCGUAUAUUAAAGUUGUUGCGGUUAAAAAGCUCGUAGUUGGAUUUCUGCUGAGAACGACCGGUCCGCCCUUUGGGUGUGUAUCUGGCUCUUUCUUGGCAUCUUCUUGGUGAACGUUGCUGCACUUGACUGUGUGGAGCGCUACCCAGGACUUUUACUUUGAGGAAAUUAGAGUGUUUCAAGCAGGCAUACGCCUUGAAUACAUUAGCAUGGAAUAAUAAGAUAGGACCUCGGUUCUAUUUUGUUGGUUUCUAGAGCUGAGGUAAUGAUUAAUAGGGAUAGUUGGGGGCAUUCGUAUUUAACUGUCAGAGGUGAAAUUCUUGGAUUUGUUGAAGACGGACUACUGCGAAAGCAUCUGCCAUGGAUGUUCUCAUUGA
This 380-nucleotide ribosomal RNA is filed under the name uncultured eukaryote. Its description in RNAcentral is "partial 18S ribosomal RNA". It matches the Rfam family "Eukaryotic small subunit ribosomal RNA", at positions 592 to 976 of the family's 1831-position model. The record is from RNAcentral.